UACAGAGGGUGCGAGCGUUAAUCGGAAUUACUGGGCGUAAAGCGUGCGCAGACGGUCACGUAAGUCGGGUGUGAAAGCCCCGGGCUCAACCUGGGAAUUGCAUUCGAGACUGCGUGGCUAGGGUGCGGAAGAGGGAAGCGGAAUUUCCGGUGUAGCGGUGAAAUGCGUAGAUAUCGGAAGGAACAUCAGUGGCGAAAGCGGCUUCCUGGACCAGCACCGACGUUCAGGCACGAAAGCGUGGGGAGCAAACAGG
Molecule: ribosomal RNA, 253 nt
Filed under: uncultured bacterium
Lineage: Bacteria
Description: partial 16S ribosomal RNA
Rfam family: Bacterial small subunit ribosomal RNA
Source: RNAcentral